This 301-nucleotide ribosomal RNA is filed under the name uncultured bacterium. RNAcentral's name for it is "partial 16S ribosomal RNA". It matches the Rfam family "Bacterial small subunit ribosomal RNA", at positions 509 to 809 of the family's 1533-position model. The record is from RNAcentral.
CAGCCGCCACGGUAAUACGUAGGUGGCGAGCGUUGUCCGGAAUUAUUGGGCGUAAAGGGAGCGCAGGCGGGCGAGUAAGUCUUUCUUAAAAGUGCGGGGCUCAACCCCGUGAGGGGAGAGAAACUACUCAUCUUGAGUGCAGGAGAGGAAAGCGGAGUUCCUAGUGUAGCGGUGAAAUGCGUAGAUAUUAGGAAGAACACCAGUGGCGAAGGCGACUUUCUGGACGAAAACUGACGCUGAGGCGCGAAAGCCAGGGGAGCGAACGGGAUUAGAUACCCCUGUAGUCCCUGUCUCUUAUACA